GCCUGGAUAGCUCAGUUGGUUAGAACUUGGUGCUGAUAAUGGCAAGGUUGCAGGUUCGAUCCCCAUAUAGGACA
This 74-nucleotide transfer RNA is filed under the name Podarcis lilfordi (Lilford's wall lizard). RNAcentral describes it as "tRNA.Ile". Lineage: Eukaryota; Metazoa; Chordata; Lepidosauria; Squamata; Lacertidae. The record is from RNAcentral.